This 391-nucleotide ribosomal RNA is filed under the name Cyclotella sp. Its description in RNAcentral is "partial small subunit ribosomal RNA". It matches the Rfam family "Eukaryotic small subunit ribosomal RNA", at positions 582 to 975 of the family's 1831-position model. The record is from RNAcentral. Lineage: Eukaryota; Bacillariophyta; Thalassiosirophyceae; Thalassiosirales; Thalassiosiraceae.
AUUCCAGCUCCAAUAGCGUAUAUUAAAGUUGUUGCAGUUAAAAAGCUCGUAGUUGGAUUUCUGGCAGGAGCGUCCGGUCUCACACUCAGUGCGGGAACUUGGAUGUCUCUGGCCAUCUUUGGGGAUAUCCUGUUUGGCAUUAAGUUGUCGGGCAGGGGACACCCAUCGUUUACUGUGAAAAAAUUAGAGUGUUUAAAGCAGGCUUAUGCCGUUGAAUAUAUUAGCAUGGAAUAAUAAGAUAGGACGUAGGCACUAUUUUGUUGGUUUGCGCACCCACGUAAUGAUUAAUAGAGACAGGCGGGGCUAUUCGUAUUGCAUUGUCAGAGGUGAAAUUCUUGGAUUUCUGCAAGACGAACUACUGCGAAAGCAUUUAGCAAGGAUGUUUUCAUCA